CGCACCUUGCGCCCUUUGGUAUUCCGAGGGGCAUGCCUGUUUGAGUGUCAUUAAAUACCAUCAACCCUCUUUUGACUUCGGUCUCGAGAGUGGCUUGGAAGUGGAGGUCUGCUGGAGCCUAACGGAGCCAGCUCCUCUUAAAUGUAUUAGCGGAUUUCCCUUGCGGGAUCGCGUCUCCGAUGUGAUAAUUUCUACGUCGUUGACCAUCUCGGGGCUGACCUUGGUCAGUUUCAAUAGGAGUCUGCUUCUAACCGUCUCUUGACUGAGACUAGCGACUUGCGCGCUAACUUUUGACUUGACCUCAAAUCAGGUAGGACUACCCGCUGAACUUAA
Molecule: unclassified non-coding RNA, 333 nt
Filed under: Schizophyllum commune
Lineage: Eukaryota; Fungi; Basidiomycota; Agaricomycetes; Agaricales; Schizophyllaceae
Description: partial contains 5.8S ribosomal RNA, internal transcribed spacer 2, and large subunit ribosomal RNA
Source: RNAcentral